ACGGCUCAGUAACACGUGGGUAACCUACCCUGGCGUGGGGGAUAACCCGCCGAAAGGCGGGCUAAUACCGCAUACGAUCACCUAUCUCUGGGUGGGUGAGGAAAGCAGUGAUGUGCGCUAGGCUGGGCCUGCGGCCGAUUAGCUAGUUGGUGGGGUAAGGGCCUACCAAGGCGAUGAUCGGUAGCUGGUCUGAGAGGAUGAUCAGCCAGACUGGGACUGUGACACGGCCCAGACUCCUACGGGAGGCAGCAGUUAGGAAUCUUGGGCAAUGGGCGGAAGCCUGACCCAGCAACGCCGCGUGGGUGAUGAAGGCCUUCGGGUCGUAAAGCUCUUUUCCCGGGGAAGAUGAUGACGGUACCCGGGGAAUAAGCCCCGGCUAACUACGUGCCAGCAGCCGCGGUAAUACGUAGGGGGCGAGCGUUGUCCGGAUUUAUUGGGCGUAAAAGGCUUGUAGGCGGCCACGCCGCGUCGGACGUGAAAUCUCCCGGCUCAACUGGGAGGGGUCGUGCGAUACGGGCGGGCUCGAGGCCGGUAGGGGGACGCGGAAUUCCCGGUGUAGUGGUGGAAUGCGUAGAUAUCGGGAGGAACACCAGUGGCGCAGGCGGCGUCCUGGACCGGCACUGACGCUGAGGAGCGAAAGCGUGGGGAGCGAUCCGGAUUAGAUACCCGGGUAGUCCACGCCGUAAACGGUGCGCACUAGGUGUCGGGGGUAUCGACCCCUCCGGUGCCGCAGCUAACGCAUUAAGUGCGCUGCCUGGGGAGUACGGCCGCAAGGCUAAAACUCAAAGGAAUUGGCGGGGGAGCAC
RNAcentral lists this ribosomal RNA (806 nucleotides) under uncultured Bacillota bacterium. Its description in RNAcentral is "bacterial SSU rRNA". It matches the Rfam family "Bacterial small subunit ribosomal RNA", at positions 102 to 924 of the family's 1533-position model. Lineage: Bacteria; Bacillati; Bacillota. The record is from RNAcentral.